GGAAAGCACAAAAUGAACACAAGGAGAAGUGGCGGGCUGAAGAGAGCAUUCAACACUAUUCUCCAUCAUGACUGACGUGUGACAACCCCUUCAGAAUACAAGCUUCAUCUUCACCUGUCUUCUAGGCUCCCUGGCUGCUGAUGACACCAUGCAUGAAAUCUAAGAGUAUGGAGCUGAAGUACAACUUUCCAGACAGUGAGCAGAUGUACUGUUAGAGACUUCAGUAUCUGCCAUGGCCCUCUCCUGGCAGGUGGGAUAUUCAGAAAUAGAUGGCUGUCAGCUAGGUUGGAUGUGUGCAAUUACAAGGUCCUUUGAGGCUCCAGAGGUCUAAGGCGUAUGGUGAUCAACAUAAUUAUGGCCAAUUUCUUUAGAGUGGAGAAAACCCUCUGCUACUAUAAAGUUUGGACCAAAAUUCAAAA
Chelonia mydas (Green sea turtle) is the source of this 419-nucleotide long non-coding RNA. RefSeq lists it as uncharacterized. NCBI's taxonomy places the organism in Eukaryota, Metazoa, Chordata, Testudines, Cheloniidae. The record is from RefSeq and is a predicted model, not a curated record. The transcript has 2 exons.